Talpa occidentalis (Iberian mole) is the source of this 104-nucleotide small nuclear RNA. The record is from RefSeq and is a predicted model, not a curated record. NCBI's taxonomy places the organism in Eukaryota, Metazoa, Chordata, Mammalia, Eulipotyphla, Talpidae.
GUUUCCUUCUAAAAUGUGUCACAUGUACUAAAAUUAGAAUAAUGCAGAGAUUAGCAUGACCCCUGCUAAGACGACACACAAAUUAGUGACUGUUCCAUAUUUUA